Molecule: long non-coding RNA, 1801 nt
Filed under: Olea europaea subsp. europaea
Lineage: Eukaryota; Viridiplantae; Streptophyta; Magnoliopsida; Lamiales; Oleaceae
Source: RNAcentral
UUCAAAUCUUAGUACUGAAGUUUAUUUCAGAUUACUAUUUUUUUUAAAAUGGAUUAAUUGAAUCAGCAUGUUACCAAAGUAACGUCUCUUAUCUAAAUUAAUUUAUUUGGAAUAUUAGGAAGGUCGUAUGUACGUAAUUUAUGCAGAUAUUCAUUGGCACAAAGGAAUAUUAGGAAGGUCGUGUGUACGUAAAUUAUGGAUAAAGAAUGGGUGCGUCUUAACAUGUAGUUUGUACUUUGUCAUGUAAUUUAUAUACUUUAUAUUUUAAGAUAAUGUCUUAGAAUAUUGUCUUUUAAAAUUGUUAGGGCCUCACAAGAGUACAUAAAAGCUUCGGAAAAAUUUGUUGUUACUACUCAUCAUAAUUUAGGCAAACCAAAUAAAAUUUUAUGUCCUUGUAAAGAUUGUCGAAACUUAACCAUCAAUAUGUAGAUAUCGUUCACGAGCAUCUGGUCAUAAGAGGGAAUAGAUUCGACUUACACAAAUUGGUUUCACCAUGGAGAAAGAUUAAUUAGUAAUGUUGAUACUGCAAAUAAGACGGAAAUAUUCAACUUGUUUGAAACUGCACAUACGAAUGAAGAACAUAACAAGGAAGUUUUUGAAGAGAAUUUGGAUGAUGACAUUAGUCGAUUGGUGAAGGAUGCUGAAACUCCGUUGUAUCCGAGAAAUGAAAAAUACACAAAGCUAUCUUCAAUUGUGACCUUAUAUAAGCUUAAAACUAUUAAUGGUUGGUCAGAUAAUAGCUUUACAGAAUUUCUAAACAUAUUACAUGAUAUGUUACCUGAAGGUAAUGUAAUUCCUACAUCCACAAUAUGCGUAAGAAAAUUUCUAAAGACAUUUGAUUUAGGAUAUAAGAAGAUUCAUGUAUGUGUUAAUAAUUGCUGUUUGUUUAGAAACGAUAAAAAGGAACUAGAUAGUUGUCCAAAAUUUGGAUCUUCGAGAUGGGAGGUCGAUAAGCAGACACGAAAGAGUAAAAAUGGUGUACUUGCUAAAGUCUUAAGAUACUUUCUUAUAAAAUCUAGAUUCUAGAGGAUGUUUAGUAAACCGAAGAUGGCUGAAUCAUUAAUAUCGCAUUCAACCAAUCAGAGUGUUGAUAGUAAAAUGCGUCAUCAAGUGGAUUCUCCAUCUUGGGCUUUAAUUGACAACAAGUGGCCAGAGUUUGCAAAUAAUCCACGCAAUCUUAGGCUUGAGCUUGCUACAGAUGGUUUCAAUCCAUUCAACAAUUUCAACUCUACAUAUAGUUGUUAGCCAGUGAUGUUGGUCAUUUAUAAUCUACCACCAUGGUUAUGUAUGAAAAAAGAAAAUAUCAUGUUGUCAUUGUUAAUUCCAGGGCCUAAACAACUUGGGAAUGAUAUUGAUAUAUUUUGAAACCAUUUAUAGAUGACUUGAACGAAUUGUGGAAUAUUGGGGUGAAUGUGUAUGAUGCACACACUAAUGCAGUCUUCAACUUGACAGCAAUACUUAUGUGGACUACUAAUGAUUUACCAGCUCUUGAAAAUUUAGCUGGAUGUAAAAUUAAGGGUAGGACAGGUUGCCCUAUAAAAUGCUACGUAAAAGUUUUUUAUAACACUUUAUAAUAGAGGUAUGACUUUUAAUAACACCAUCUACAAUAACAUUUUGGAAAAUGCUAUGAAACAUGAUAGAUAACAUUUUUCGCAAGCUAUAGAAGCCUUGAUAUGUUGUAGUGAAGAUGGCAACAACAAAAAAAAAAAACUCGUUAAAUUUGAUAUUCACGGAGUCUGGUUCCAUAACUCGCCUAAUUAGGUAAACGGGAUGACGGUCGUUGCCUUGAAACAUAUAUGGA